RNAcentral lists this ribosomal RNA (253 nucleotides) under uncultured bacterium. RNAcentral describes it as "partial 16S ribosomal RNA". It matches the Rfam family "Bacterial small subunit ribosomal RNA", at positions 524 to 776 of the family's 1533-position model. The record is from RNAcentral.
UACGUAGGAUCCAAGCGUUGUCCGGAUUUAUUGGGCGUAAAGAGCGUGUAGGCGGCCUGAAAGGUCAGCUGUGAAAACUCGAGGCUCAACCUCGAGACGCCGGUGGAAACCAUCAGACUAGAGUCUGGAAGAGGAGAGUGGAAUUCCUGGUGUAGCGGUGAAAUGCGCAGAUAUCGGGAAGAACACCCGUGGCUAAGGCGGCUCUCUAGUACGGUACUGACGCUGAGACGCGAAAGCGUGGGGAGCGAACAGG